This 541-nucleotide ribosomal RNA is filed under the name uncultured Gallionellaceae bacterium. RNAcentral's name for it is "bacterial SSU rRNA". It matches the Rfam family "Bacterial small subunit ribosomal RNA", at positions 135 to 671 of the family's 1533-position model. The record is from RNAcentral. Lineage: Bacteria; Pseudomonadati; Pseudomonadota; Betaproteobacteria; Nitrosomonadales; Gallionellaceae.
AGUGGGGGAUAACGUAGCGAAAGUUACGCUAAUACCGCAUAUGCCCUGAGGGGGAAAGGGGGGGAUCGCAAGACCUUUCGCUUUCGGAGUGGCCGAUAUCAGAUUAGCUAGUUGGUGGGGUAAAGGCCCACCAAGGCGACGAUCUGUAGCGGGUCUGAGAGGAUGAUCCGCCACACUGGGACUGAGACACGGCCCAGACUCCUACGGGAGGCAGCAGUGGGGAAUUUUGGACAAUGGGGGCAACCCUGAUCCAGCCAUGCCGCGUGAGUGAAGAAGGCCUUCGGGUUGUAAAGCUCUUUCAGCCGGAAAGAAAUCGCGCCGAUUAAUACUCGGCGUGGAUGACGGUACCGGAAGAAGAAGCACCGGCUAACUACGUGCCAGCAGCCGCGGUAAUACGUAGGGUGCGAGCGUUAAUCGGAAUUACUGGGCGUAAAGCGUGCGCAGGCGGUUUUGUAAGACAGGCGUGAAAUCCCCGGGCUUAACCUGGGAACUGCGUUUGUGACUGCAAGGCUAGAGUGUGGCAGAGGGGGGUAGAAUUCCG